RNAcentral lists this ribosomal RNA (451 nucleotides) under uncultured bacterium. RNAcentral describes it as "SSU rRNA". It matches the Rfam family "Bacterial small subunit ribosomal RNA", at positions 26 to 518 of the family's 1533-position model. The record is from RNAcentral.
AGAGCGAACGCUGGCGGCAGGCCUAACACAUGCAAGUCGAGCGCCCGUAGCAAUACGGGAGCGGCAGACGGGAUAGUAACACGUGGGAACGCGCCCUUCGGUUCGGAAUAACUCAGGGAAACUUGAGCUAAUACCGGAUACGCCCUUACGGGGAAAGAUUUAUUGCCGAAGGAACGGCCCGCGUCCGAUUAGCUAGUUGGUGAGGUAAUGGCUCACCAAGGCGACGAUCGGUAGCUGGUCUGAGAGGAUGACCAGCAUCACUGGGACUGAGACACGGCCCAGACUCCUACGGGAGGCAGCAGUGGGGAAUAUUGGACAAUGGGCGCAAGCCUGAUCCAGCCAUGCCGCGUGGAUGAUGAAGGCCUUAGGGUUGUAAAGGUCCUUUUAACGGGGGAAGUAUAAUGACGGUACCCGUAGAAUAAGCCCCGGCUAACUUCGUGCCAGCAGCCGC